UCCCUGAUGGUCCAGUGGUUAAGACUCUGCACUUCCAAUACAAAGAGCAUGGGUUUGAGCCCUGAUUGGGGAA
RNAcentral lists this transfer RNA (73 nucleotides) under Ovis aries (sheep). It matches the Rfam family "tRNA". From Rfam's summary of the family: Transfer RNA (tRNA) molecules are approximately 80 nucleotides in length. Their secondary structure includes four short double-helical elements and three loops (D, anti-codon, and T loops). Further hydrogen bonds mediate the characteristic L-shaped molecular structure. tRNAs have two regions of fundamental functional importance: the anti-codon, which is responsible for specific mRNA codon recognition, and the 3' end, to which the tRNAs corresponding amino acid is attached (by aminoacyl-tRNA synthetases). tRNAs cope with the degeneracy of the genetic code in two manners: having more than one tRNA (with a specific anti-codon) for a particular amino acid; and 'wobble' base-pairing, i.e. permitting non-standard base-pairing at the 3rd anti-codon position. The record is from Rfam by way of RNAcentral. Lineage: Eukaryota; Metazoa; Chordata; Mammalia; Artiodactyla; Bovidae.